RNAcentral lists this ribosomal RNA (242 nucleotides) under uncultured bacterium. RNAcentral describes it as "partial 16S ribosomal RNA". It matches the Rfam family "Bacterial small subunit ribosomal RNA", at positions 92 to 334 of the family's 1533-position model. The record is from RNAcentral.
CGAGCGGCGGACGGGUGAGUAACGCGUGGGUAACCUGCCUCAUACAGGGGGAUAACAGUCGGAAACGGCUGCUAAUACCGCAUAAGCGCACAGUACCGCAUGGUACGGUGUGAAAAACUCCGGUGGUAUGAGAUGGACCCGCGUCUGAUUAGGUAGUUGGUGGGGUAACGGCCUACCAAGCCGACGAUCAGUAGCCGACCUGAGAGGGUGACCGGCCACAUUGGGACUGAGACACGGCCCAA